Molecule: long non-coding RNA, 257 nt
Organism: Lolium rigidum
Lineage: Eukaryota; Viridiplantae; Streptophyta; Magnoliopsida; Poales; Poaceae
Exons: 2
Source: RefSeq, a predicted model, not a curated record
AUGGUGAGAGCCCAUCAAGAUACAAAAAAGUGUGAUUUGUACAUUGUGGCAAAUCAUCAUUUUCGAGGUGAUGGUUACGAUUAGAGUGACGAGGAUGGUGAUGAUGGGUCGAAUGAUGAAGCCCCUUUUGGUGCCUGCCUCGAUGUUGGUCAGAGUGGAAAGGACGAAGAUAGAUCAUCGCCAUGAACGAAUAUUAUGUGUGCUUUUCAUUUAAAAUGAUGAAGCUCCUUUUGGGUCGAAUUAUAGUGUGCUUACCA